CAGUCGCCACGGUAAUACGUAGGUGGCAAGCGUUGUCCGGAAUUAUUGGGCGUAAAGGGCUCGCAGGCGGUUUCUUAAGUCUGAUGUGAAAGCCCCCGGCUCAACCGGGGAGGGUCAUUGGAAACUGGGAAACUUGAGUGCAGAAGAGGAGAGUGGAAUUCCGCGUGUAGCGGUGAAAUGCGUAGAGAUGUGGAGGAACACCAGUGGCGAAGGCGACUCUCUGGUCUGUUACUGACGCUGAGGAGCGAAAGCGUGGGGAGCGAACAGGAUUAGAUACCCCUGUAGUCCCUGUCUCUUAUAU
RNAcentral lists this ribosomal RNA (301 nucleotides) under uncultured bacterium. Its description in RNAcentral is "partial 16S ribosomal RNA". It matches the Rfam family "Bacterial small subunit ribosomal RNA", at positions 509 to 809 of the family's 1533-position model. The record is from RNAcentral.